This 207-nucleotide ribosomal RNA is filed under the name uncultured bacterium. RNAcentral's name for it is "partial 16S ribosomal RNA". It matches the Rfam family "Bacterial small subunit ribosomal RNA", at positions 568 to 774 of the family's 1533-position model. The record is from RNAcentral.
CACGUAGGCGGUUUCCUAAGUCAGAGGUGAAAUCCAGUGGCUCAACCACUGGCCUGCCUUUGAAACUGGGGAACUUGAGGCCGUGAGAGGAAAGCGGAAUUCCUGGUGUAUCGGUGAAAUGAGUUGAUAUCAGGAGGAACACCGGUGGCGAAGGCGGCUUUCUGGCGCGGUUCUGACGCUGAGGUGCGAAAGCAUGGGGAGCAAACG